Molecule: unclassified non-coding RNA, 808 nt
Filed under: Hevea brasiliensis (rubber tree)
Lineage: Eukaryota; Viridiplantae; Streptophyta; Magnoliopsida; Malpighiales; Euphorbiaceae
Source: RNAcentral
GUGGCACUAGGACCUCGAAAAGCCUAUCAAAGAAAGACACAUCAUUCAACCAUCAAAAUUGUUAUUCAGCUGUGUGUUACAAUAUGUAAUCUCCAGUAUGAUAAACAGUGAAGGAAAAAAGGGUUCAUUGAUUAAAUUUUAAGUAAACAUUGAAUAACAAAAAAUUUGAAACUAUUUACAAGCCAUCAACGGAAAACCAACUCAGAGAGAUGCUGGUACAUGCCCCUACCCCUUGAACCCUCUAAAUAACAAAAUAGAAAGAAUUUUAUAAAAUAGAGACAGCUUUCGGAACAGAAAUUUUCCACCAACAUCAAGUUUCAGGGCAAAGGCUACACUAACUGAUUAGCAAGCCAGAGAAAUUUUCAUUAAGAGUUUUGGAAUUAAAGUCCUUUCUACAAACUCAACAUUUCAGUUGCUUUGCUUCCGUAUAGUUCUAGAGCUGGAGGCAGAGGAACAAAAGUUAGAUUCACAUCUUGAGAUUCCAAAGCAAUAGUAGGAAUUAGCAUUGAGAAUCAAAUAAAAUGUACAGUACGAAAGAAGUAUAAAUUUGAAGAAUUUGGGUGUGCAUCCAUUAUAUCUGUGUUAUUUCUGUUUCUUCCUUUAUGAGUUCUGAUACAAUCUCAAACUAGUUAUAAAUUCUUCUUCCAACUUACAUACUUUGGCAUAACAAGCUCUUACUUUUGCAACACCAGAGUUUUCAUAACAAUUUAUUCAGGCUAAACUUAAGCAAAGAAGGAUCAAAUCAAGAAACAAAACAAAGAGGUAUUAAACACCAAGAAAAUUACCAUAUACUUUUCAUAAGCCAUUG